This 400-nucleotide ribosomal RNA is filed under the name uncultured bacterium. RNAcentral's name for it is "bacterial SSU rRNA". It matches the Rfam family "Bacterial small subunit ribosomal RNA", at positions 359 to 776 of the family's 1533-position model. The record is from RNAcentral.
GAAUAUUGGACAAUGGGCGCAAGCCUGAUCCAGCCAUGCCGCGUGAGUGAUGAAGGCCUUAGGGUUGUAAAGCUCUUUCACCGGAGAAGAUAAUGACGGUAUCCGGAGCAGAAGCCCCGGCUAACUUCGUGCCAGCAGCCGCGGUAAUACGAAGGGGGCUAGCGUUGUUCGGAAUUACUGGGCGUAAAGCGCACGUAGGCGGAUUGGUCAGUUAGGGGUGAAAUCCCGGAGCUCAACUCCGGAACUGCCUUUAAUACUGCCAGUCUAGAGACCGAGAGAGGUAAGUGGAACUCCUAGUGUAGAGGUGGAAUUCGUAGAUAUUAGGAAGAACACCAGUGGCGAAGGCGGCUUACUGGCUCGGAACUGACGCUGAGGUGCGAAAGCGUGGGGAGCAAACAGG